AUUGAACGCUGGCGGCAGGCCUAACACAUGCAAGUCGAACGAGUGGCGGACGGGUGAGUAAUGUCUGGGAAACUGCCCGAUGGAGGGGGAUAACUACUGGGAACGGUAGCUAAUACCGCGUACCAUCGGCUGUGCCCAGAUGGGAUUAGCUCGUGGGUGAGGUAACGGCUCACCUAGGCGACGAUCCCUAGCUGGUCUGAGAGGAUGACCAGCCACACUGGAACUGAGACACGGUCCAGACUCCUACGGGAGGCAGCAGUGGGGAAUAUUGCACAAUGGGCGCAAGCCUGAUACAGCCAUGCCGCGUGUAUGAAGAAGGCCUUCGGGUUGUAAAGUACUUUCAGCGGGGAGGCGUUACCCGCAGAAGAAGCACCGGCUAACUCCGUGCCAGCAGCCGCGGUAAUUC
Molecule: ribosomal RNA, 406 nt
Filed under: uncultured bacterium
Lineage: Bacteria
Description: partial 16S ribosomal RNA
Rfam family: Bacterial small subunit ribosomal RNA
Source: RNAcentral